This 558-nucleotide ribosomal RNA is filed under the name Saccharomyces cerevisiae (brewer's yeast). RNAcentral describes it as "eukaryotic LSU rRNA". It matches the Rfam family "Eukaryotic large subunit ribosomal RNA", at positions 49 to 610 of the family's 3401-position model. Lineage: Eukaryota; Fungi; Ascomycota; Saccharomycetes; Saccharomycetales; Saccharomycetaceae. The record is from RNAcentral.
AGCGGAGGAAAAGAAACCAACCGGGAUUGCCUUAGUAACGGCGAGUGAAGCGGCAAAAGCUCAAAUUUGAAAUCUGGUACCUUCGGUGCCCGAGUUGUAAUUUGGAGAGGGCAACUUUGGGGCCGUUCCUUGUCUAUGUUCCUUGGAACAGGACGUCAUAGAGGGUGAGAAUCCCGUGUGGCGAGGAGUGCGGUUCUUUGUAAAGUGCCUUCGAAGAGUCGAGUUGUUUGGGAAUGCAGCUCUAAGUGGGUGGUAAAUUCCAUCUAAAGCUAAAUAUUGGCGAGAGACCGAUAGCGAACAAGUACAGUGAUGGAAAGAUGAAAAGAACUUUGAAAAGAGAGUGAAAAAGUACGUGAAAUUGUUGAAAGGGAAGGGCAUUUGAUCAGACAUGGUGUUUUGUGCCCUCUGCUCCUUGUGGGUAGGGGAAUCUCGCAUUUCACUGGGCCAGCAUCAGUUUUGGUGGCAGGAUAAAUCCAUAGGAAUGUAGCUUGCCUCGGUAAGUAUUAUAGCCUGUGGGAAUACUGCCAGCUGGGACUGAGGACUGCGACGUAAGUCAAG